UACGUAGGUGGCGAGCGUUAUCCGGAUUUAUUGGGCGUAAAGCGUCCGCAGCCGGCUUAUUAAGUAUAGAAUUAAAGCCCGAGGCUUAACCUCGGUUCGUUCUGUAAACUGGUAGGCUUGAGUGUGGUAGAGGCAAGUGGAAUUUCUAGUGUAGCGGUAGAAUGUGUAGAUAUUAGAAGGAACACCAGUGGCGAAGGCGACUUGCUGGGCCAUUACUGACGGUCAGGGACGAAAGCGUGGGGAGCGAAUA
Molecule: ribosomal RNA, 250 nt
Filed under: uncultured prokaryote
Description: partial 16S ribosomal RNA
Rfam family: Bacterial small subunit ribosomal RNA
Source: RNAcentral